Molecule: transfer RNA, 72 nt
Filed under: Marmota monax (woodchuck)
Lineage: Eukaryota; Metazoa; Chordata; Mammalia; Rodentia; Sciuridae
Rfam family: tRNA
About the family: Transfer RNA (tRNA) molecules are approximately 80 nucleotides in length. Their secondary structure includes four short double-helical elements and three loops (D, anti-codon, and T loops). Further hydrogen bonds mediate the characteristic L-shaped molecular structure. tRNAs have two regions of fundamental functional importance: the anti-codon, which is responsible for specific mRNA codon recognition, and the 3' end, to which the tRNAs corresponding amino acid is attached (by aminoacyl-tRNA synthetases). tRNAs cope with the degeneracy of the genetic code in two manners: having more than one tRNA (with a specific anti-codon) for a particular amino acid; and 'wobble' base-pairing, i.e. permitting non-standard base-pairing at the 3rd anti-codon position.
Source: Rfam by way of RNAcentral
UGGGUUGUGGCUCAGCGGUAGAGCACUCAUCUAGCGAGUGCGAGGCCCUGGAUUCAAUCCUCAACACCUCAU